GCAAGUCGAGCGGUAGUCACAACAUUGAUCCUUCGGGUGAUUCGUUGUGGUGAGAGCGGCGAACGGGUGAGUAACACGUGAACAACCUACCCCAAAGUCUGGGAUAGCCCGCCGAAAGGUGGAUUAAUACCGGAUGUGGUCCUUGGUCGCAUGACCGAGGUACUAAAGCUUGUAAUGGCGCUUUUGGAGGGGUUCGCGGUCUAUCAGCUUGUUGGUGAGGUAACGGCUCACCAAGGCUAAGACGGAUAGCUGGUCUGAGAGGAUGAUC
Molecule: ribosomal RNA, 268 nt
Filed under: uncultured bacterium
Lineage: Bacteria
Description: partial 16S ribosomal RNA
Rfam family: Bacterial small subunit ribosomal RNA
Source: RNAcentral